GAUGAAGAACGUAGCGAAAUGCGAUACUUGGUGUGAAUUGCAGAAUCCCGUUAACCAUCGAGUCUUUGAACGCAAGUUGCGCCCGAAGCCAUCAGGUUGAGGGCACGUCUGCCUGGGCGUCACAUAUCGUUGCCCAAUGCCUAUUGCAGUGCAAUAGGAAUUUCUAGGGCGAAUGAUGGCUUCCCGUGAGCGUUGUUGCCUCGCGGUUGGUUGAAAAUCGAGUCCUUGGUAGGGUGUGCCAUGGUAGAUGGUGGUCGAGUUAGAACGAUACCGAUCAUGUGCAUGCUCCCCAAAAUAUGGCCUCUAUGACCCACACGCGUCUUUUGACGCUCAUGACGAGACCUCAGGUCAGGCGGGGCUACCCGCUGAAUUUAAGCAUAUCAAUAAGGGAGGA
RNAcentral lists this unclassified non-coding RNA (394 nucleotides) under soil metagenome. RNAcentral's name for it is "partial contains 5.8S ribosomal RNA, internal transcribed spacer 2, and large subunit ribosomal RNA". The stretch from base 1 to 122 matches the Rfam family "5.8S ribosomal RNA", at positions 35 to 154 of the family's 154-position model. The record is from RNAcentral.